GCCCCAAAUUUAACUAUUUUACUUAUAAACCUGAAAAAAAUUUUUAAAUACAGUAGUAUUACAUAACAACCUCUCACAAACAAAACCGCAAGGGUCACCAACUCCGCCCAUCUUAGAAAAGAUAAUUACUUAUCCCUUUUGCAUCAUGGAGAAGCAACAAAAACGCAAAGAUCUCUGCACUCCCGAAUAAUUAUGAGCUACUAAACCCUAAAACUUAAUGUUUCAUAAUUAACAACUAGUCUUUAGUAGAAGUAACAAGCCUUCCAUAUAAUUUGAUAGCUGGUUUUUCACAAAAAGUAUCUUAGUACUGCCCUAUAUGAAAUUAUACUUCCAAAUUACUCUAUAGGUGUUAACCUUUUAAGGAUUAGCUCAAAAGGAACAAUUAGAAAUAACCCACACUUCUCAUCUUUUAAGUAGGCUUAAAAGCAGCCACCUGACAGCGUUCUAGCUAAUAACUAACCCACCCUAAUAUAAAAACCUAAUUCUAAUUAAAGUGGAAUCUAGUGCCAAACUCACCCACUAACAAACAGGCAUCCUAUUAGUAUUUAUAUAAACCACUAUUAAAAAUCUAAACAAAAUUAAUUCAUAAACAAUCCCACCCCAUACACAUAUAAAGCGAACUCGGCAAUAAAAUUCCCUGCCUGUUUACCAAAAACAUCGUCUUUUGAAGCAUUUUACAUAAAAGAUAAUGCCUGCCCAGUGAAAAUUUUUAAACGGCCGCGUUAGCGUGAGCGUGCUAAGGUAGCGUAAUAAAUAGCCUUUUAAUUGGAGGCCAGUGAAUGGCAAGACUAGGAAUACCUGUACCCUUUAUGAAAAAAAAACUUUUCAUCUGAGUGAAAAGACUCAGAUAGCAAAGGAAGACGAAAAGACCCCGCGGAACUUUACCUUUUCCAGCCUUAACUGCCCAUAAACACAAAAGACAAAAGGUUUGAUUGGGGCAAUCUCGGAACAACCAAGCUUCCGAUUUCUCCUUAAACAAAUAUUUAUAACUCGAUAAGGACAAAAAAGAAGUUACCCCGGGGAUAACAGCGUAAUCCAGCUCAAGAGUACACAUCGAAAGCUGGGUUUGCGACCUCGAUGUUGGCUUAAGGAUAUCCACAUCAGUGCAACCGCUAUGAUAGGAUAGUCUGUUCGACUAUUAUACCCUUACACGAGCUGAGUUAAGACCGGCGCAAGCUAGGUUGGUUUCUAUCUCCUAUGCACUUAAUAACCUUCCUGAUUGUACGAAAGGACCCCAAGAGGUGCACCAAAUAACAAGCAUUUUUUAAAAAUCAAACCCCCUACAAUAGACAAUUUUCUAUCCCCA
This 1306-nucleotide ribosomal RNA is filed under the name Pleurobema oviforme. RNAcentral describes it as "16S ribosomal RNA". The stretch from base 830 to 1202 matches the Rfam family "Bacterial large subunit ribosomal RNA", at positions 2049 to 2651 of the family's 2925-position model. The record is from RNAcentral. Lineage: Eukaryota; Metazoa; Mollusca; Bivalvia; Unionida; Unionidae.